CCUACGGGUGGCUGCAGUGGGGAAUAUUGGACAAUGGGCGAAAGCCUGAUCCAGCCAUGCCGCGUGUGUGAAGAAGGCCUUCGGGUUGUAAAGCACUUUCAGUGGGGAAGAAAGCCUUGUGGCUAAUACGCGCGGGGAUGGACGUUACCCACAGAAGAAGCACCGGCUAACUCCGUGCCAGCAGCCGCGGUAAUACGGAGGGUGCGAGCGUUAAUCGGAAUUACUGGGCGUAAAGCGCGCGUAGGCGGUUUGAUAAGCCGGUUGUGAAAGCCCCGGGCUCAACCUGGGAACGGCAUCCGGAACUGUCAGGCUAGAGUGCAGGAGAGGAAGGUAGAAUUCCCGGUGUAGCGGUGAAAUGCGUAGAGAUCGGGAGGAAUACCAGUGGCGAAGGCGGCCUUCUGGACUGACACUGACGCUGAGGUGCGAAAGCGUGGGUAGCAAACAGGAUUAGAUACCCCUGUAGUC
This 465-nucleotide ribosomal RNA is filed under the name Vreelandella stevensii. Its description in RNAcentral is "partial 16S ribosomal RNA". It matches the Rfam family "Bacterial small subunit ribosomal RNA", at positions 338 to 795 of the family's 1533-position model. The record is from RNAcentral. Lineage: Bacteria; Pseudomonadati; Pseudomonadota; Gammaproteobacteria; Oceanospirillales; Halomonadaceae.